RNAcentral lists this ribosomal RNA (595 nucleotides) under uncultured archaeon. RNAcentral describes it as "bacterial SSU rRNA". It matches the Rfam family "Archaeal small subunit ribosomal RNA", at positions 80 to 680 of the family's 1478-position model. The record is from RNAcentral.
CGAUUACGGCUCAGUAACACGUAGCUAAUCUACCCUUAGGUCAGGAUAAUCUCGGGAAACUGAGUCUAAUACCUGAUAAGGGUGAAGUGCUGGAAUGCACUCACCCUGAAACUCGUGCCUAAGGAUGAGGCUGCGGAUGAUUAGCUUGUUGGUGGGGUAACUGCCUACCAAGGCAAUGAUCAUUACGGGCUCUUAGCGGAGUUGCCCGGAGAAGGAAUCUGAGACACUAUUCCUAGCUCUACGGAGUGCAGCAGUGGCGAAUCAUUUACAAUGCACGAAAGUGUGAUAAUGCGAACCAAAGUGCCUAUCAUUUAGAUCGGCUUUUCUUCACUUUAAAACGGUGGAGGAAUAAGGACUGGGAAAGACCGGUGCCAGCCGCCGCGGUAAUACCGGCGGUUCAAGUCGCAUCCCUAUUUAUUGGGUCUAAAACAUCCGUAGCUUGCUCAUUAAGUCUCUUGUGAAAUCCCAUGUCUCAAGCAUGGGGCCUGCAGGAGAUACUGAUGAGCUAGAGAUCGGUAGACGUAAGGAGUACGCCGGAGGUAGCGGUAAAAUGUGUUAAUCUUCGGUGGACUAACGAUGACCGAAGGCACCUUAC